Molecule: ribosomal RNA, 405 nt
Filed under: uncultured bacterium
Lineage: Bacteria
Description: partial 16S ribosomal RNA
Rfam family: Bacterial small subunit ribosomal RNA
Source: RNAcentral
AUUGAACGCUGGCGGCAGGCCUAACACAUGCAAGUCGAGCGAGUGGCGGACGGGUGAGUAAUGCUUGGGAAUCUAGCUUAUGGAGGGGGAUAACUACGGGAAACUGUAGCUAAUACCGCGUACCAUAGGAUGAGCCCAAGUGGGAUUAGGUAGUUGGUGAGGUAAAGGCUCACCAAGCCGACGAUCACUAGCUGGUCUGAGAGGAUGACCAGCCAUACGGGGACUGAGGCACGGCCCAGACUCCGGAGGUAGGAAGCAGUGGGGAAUAUUGCGCAAUGGGGGCAACCUGACGCAGCCAUGCCGCGUGAAUGAAGAAGGCCUUCGGGUUGUAAAGUUCUUUCGGUAGCGAGGCGUUACCUUCAGAAGAAGCACCGGCUAACUCCGUGCCAGCAGCCGCGGUAAUAC